UACAGAGGUCCCGAGCGUUGUUCGGAUUCAUUGGGCGUAAAGGGUGCGUAGGCGGCGGGGCAAGUCUGAUGUGAAAUCCCGGGGCUCAACCCCGGAACUGCAUUGGAUACUGCCUUGCUCGAGUACUGGAGAUGGAACUGGAAUUUACGGUGUAGCAGUGAAAUGCGUAGAGAUCGUAAGGAAGGCCAGUGGCGAAGGCGAGUUCCUGGACAGUUACUGACGCUGAGGCACGAAGGCCAGGGGAGCAAACGGG
This 253-nucleotide ribosomal RNA is filed under the name uncultured bacterium. RNAcentral's name for it is "partial 16S ribosomal RNA". It matches the Rfam family "Bacterial small subunit ribosomal RNA", at positions 524 to 776 of the family's 1533-position model. The record is from RNAcentral.